CACCGCGGUUAUACGAGAGACCCAAGUUGACAGAACCCGGCGUAAAGCGUGAUUAAUAUAAUUAUUUACUAAAGUCGAACACCCCCUAGGCUGUUAUAAGCCGUCGGUAGUGGGAAGCCCAUUAACGAAAGUGACUUUAAACGUAUGAAUUCACGAAAGCUAUGAAA
RNAcentral lists this ribosomal RNA (167 nucleotides) under Priolepis sp. KBF-I 979. RNAcentral's name for it is "partial 12S ribosomal RNA". Lineage: Eukaryota; Metazoa; Chordata; Actinopteri; Gobiiformes; Gobiidae. The record is from RNAcentral.